Small nucleolar RNA from Arvicanthis niloticus (Nile rat), 127 nucleotides. RefSeq annotates it as small nucleolar RNA SNORA17. NCBI's taxonomy places the organism in Eukaryota, Metazoa, Chordata, Mammalia, Rodentia, Muridae. The record is from RefSeq and is a predicted model, not a curated record.
ACCCCCUAGAGGCAUUGCAGGUGUAGCUGCUCUGUCGUGUUUGUGUCAGAUGGAAGAGAAGACAGAGGUUAUGUCUAUGCUCUGCGUUCUGUCCUAUAAACAUCUGAAUGAUCAGUAGCCUCACACU